This 654-nucleotide ribosomal RNA is filed under the name uncultured bacterium. RNAcentral describes it as "bacterial SSU rRNA". It matches the Rfam family "Bacterial small subunit ribosomal RNA", at positions 185 to 859 of the family's 1533-position model. The record is from RNAcentral.
UGCAGAAGUAUAGAAGGGAAAGAUUUAUCGGUAAGAGAUCAGCUUGUACAGUAUCAGUUAGUUGGUGGGGUAAUGGCUUACCAAGACUAUGACGCUUAACUGGUUUGAGAGGAUGAUCAGUCACACUGGAACUGAGACACGGUCCAGACUCCUACGGGAGGCAGCAGUGGGGAAUAUUGCACAAUGGACGAAAGUCUGAUGCAGCAACGCCGCGUGGAGGAUGACACAUUUCGGUGCGUAAACUCCUUUUAUAUGAGAAGAUAAUGACGGUAUCAUAUGAAUAAGCACCGGCUAACUCCGUGCCAGCAGCCGCGGUAAUACGGGGGGUGCAAGCGUUACUCGGAAUCACUGGGCGUAAAGAGCAUGUAGGCGGAUUGAUAAGUUUGAAGUGAAAUCCUACAGCUUAACUAUAGAACUGCUUUGAAAACUGUUAAUCUAGAAUGUGGGAGAGGUAGAUGGAAUUUCUGGUGUAGGGGUAAAAUCCGUAGAGAUCAGAAGGAAUACCGAUUGCGAAGGCGAUCUACUGGAACACUAUUGACGCUGAGGUGCGAAAGCGUGGGGAGCAAACGGGAUUAGAUACCCCGGUAGUCCACGCCCUAAACGAUGCACACUAGUUGUUGUGAGGCUAGACCUUGCAGUAAUGCAGUUAACACA